GCUAGGUGGCUUGUGGACAGGAAACCUGGAAAGGGAAUAACAUUUGAAAUGUAAAUAAGAAAUACCCAAUUAAAAAAAAAGUAAAAGAUAGGGUUUAGCUGAAUUCACUGACAUUCCACAACUCCAAUGAGAAGCAACCCUCCUCUGGGUUUCUAAAGUCUUUUAGCUAGUAGCCAAGUACUCGGAGACCAGUGUGCAAACAGGGUAGUAAGGAUGUCAACUUGCUGUGGUACAGCUUAAGCUAUGAAGGCAAGAGCCAUGUUUAGCAGCCUACCAUGUACUAGGCAUGGUAUAAAUAGAUGGACUACAUACCAGAACACCCUAGCAGCUUUGCUAUUUGGGAACCUUAAUUUGAACAGUUAAAAAAACUACUCUUAAAAUCCUGCACUGACUCAACAAUAUUUGUUUACGUAUCUCAUCAUUUAACAAUGAACACGUAUGAUGUUUGAGGUAUUAUGACAGUUUCUGGGAAGCAACAGUUGUAUGAGAUGCCCCACGCCACUUGGAGGCAGACAGCAAUGUAUGUAGUGCAGAGGACAGGGAAGGAAGAUCAGCCAUCACCACACAGCAACCAACAGGACCAGGAAAAGUGCACACAGGGCACAGCUACUGCAGGUGAGCAGGUGUGGGAAGAGUCCUUUAGGAGAAGCAACAGCAUUGGGUUGUGAUGGAGGAGGGGCAAUCUGCCAGCUUCCCAAGGAAGGAAAUAAGAUUCAGCAGAGAGAAAGCUCCCUAUGCAGAGUCACGGAAGAGUGAAGUGGUACGUCAUCUUCAAAAGCCCCACGGAAAUGAGCAAGGCCAUCGUAAGCCUAGGGAAUAUUAUCUAAUUUUUUAGUGGAGAAAGUGCUUGUCACUACUCUUGAGUUUGUUCCUAAUGUAUGUGGUAAAACCUACUUGUAACCCAGGUAAAAGGAAGCUUUGAGAUCAUAAUCAUUGCCCGUUUGUGGGAAUUAUUUUAGGUAAGGAUAACUCUCGUAGUUAGGGAAGAGGAAUAAGUGUUAUAAAGGGAGAAAGAAUACUCAUGAAGAGCCUCAGUUAGAAACAAAUGCUUGUGACAAGAUUUGAUGAUUUCACUGGGUGGGGCUUGAGGUUUAGUAACAAUAAAAUAACAAUAAUAAUAAUAAUAAUAAUAAAUGAUUCAGGCUGUAUUGCUUACCAGGAAAGAGCAUGGAUAUGUUAAGAAAAAUAGCAAUUUGGGUAAAAGCUUAAAAAAUUAAAGACAUAUUUUAAAUUAAUUUGUAAAACUCCGUUUAGAUACAUCUUAUUUCUUGGUGAUCUAAGCCAAUGGUACAGUUUCUGUCUCUUUGUUAAUCCCAAUUAGGCAACUGCCCAUCUGCCCUUGAUAAGAACGUUCUCAGUAAUUUUCUUUGUCAUUGUUUUUUUUCACUGGUUUUGGAAAUAUAUUUAUUUGGUUGUAAAACUUGACCUAACCUAAACUUCCACCUGCUCCAAUAUGUUAACAACUACUCUGCAAGGAGCCAAGAAAUUGUGAGUUCUAAAGAUUUGGGAUAAAGGAUUAUGGACUGCAAGUCUUGUAGAAUAAAAGACUCAACUGGACUUCAGAUGACAUUCAUAUCUUGUUCUCUUAAAGGUGGCUAAGUAAAAGAAAAAAGGAUGUAAACUAAAUAGCAGGAUAUGAUGAUUUGUCUUAAAAUGGUCUUAGAGUCUCUGCCGGAACAACUGAAAAGCAUUCUUAGUUGAACAAAAUCUUUACAAAUACUAGUAAAAACCUGGACUUGCGAUGGUGCUCGUUAGGACAAUGCUUGUGAAGCACACACAAGACCCUUGGUUUGUUCUCCAGUGCCUCAAAGACAAGCAUACAAACAAAAAAGUCCUUAGUGCUACUCAGUAGCUGAGCAAAUUUCCCCUCUUCUUUUCUCAGAUUUCCUGAAAGGCCGUGCGUGCGUGCGUGCGUGCUUGCGUGCGCAUGUGUGCGUGUGUGUGAUCUUUACCAGGCUGGCCUCAAUCCUUUGGCAAUCUUCCUCUCUCAUCUUCCCAAGGGUUGGGAUGAGGAGGUAUAAACUAGAGACUUGAAAGUGCUGAGGAACUCUGCAAGCUCUCUAUCUUCCUGAUAAUCAGGUCUGGUCUGGGCUCUAUUUUCCAGACAAAUUUCAUCUUGUUUUCUUGUUCUACCAGUCUGGAUUUAUGUCUGAAAAUUUAUCCUUAGUAAUGGAGUCAUUGCUAGGAAGCAAUGUGGUCUCUAUUUUAUUCACACUCCACAUUAUGUUUCUAAAGGUCAAAGAAGUGUUGGGCUGGAACCCACUGGUUAGCCCUGUCUGUGGCAGGGUUUGCGGGAACCUGACAUCCUAAGCCUCUAGAGGGCAGUGUUGCUCUACCCCGGAGCGGCUACUGCUGUAUCUCCUGGACUGGUCUUUGCAGAUACUUUCCAAUACUUUCUUUCUAAGAAGCUUUGAGAACAGAGGCUUGGUUAAGUUUCAACUUUGAAUUAUGUAUAUUAAUAUGUUUUUAUAUUCGUAGCUUCUCCACCGAAACCUCAACGGAAACACAGUUACCUCCGAAAAGAGGAAAUUUCUGAACAGGGAAUCAAAUGGAGCAGCUUGACUUUGCCUCCAAUGCUCAGUGUGGUGUCAAGAAAGAGGAAAGAAAAAGAGACAAACCCAGAACCUUUGCGCAUUUUAUAGCACUUGAGUAAGUAUAGCAUCUCUGGCUUCACUUUAAGGUCCACUUACUCUACAGAGUGAAUUCCAGGACAGCCAGGGCUACAGAGAAACCCUGUCUUGCGCAACCAACCAACGGACCAACCGAAAAACCAAAGAAUAACAACAACAAGAAACCAACUCCAAAAGGCCAGUUGCUUUCCUGUCCCUGAAGAACAGUGACAGGGUUGGUAGAACCAUCUACAGCAGUGCCAUGUGGGAGGUAAGGAUACUUUUACACACCCCUUCUCCAGCAAGCCCUAGCUAGAUGUUAUAUAAAUGCAGAAGUCCAGGCUGCCUGCAGCUAUGGAAGCAUGUGUUACUGAUAGAAUAGAACCUUUGAGCUGGAGAGGGGAGAAAAUCCUAAAAACCUCGCUGGAUGUAAACAAGGCUCCGUUCUCCCACUUCAGACACAAGCAGCUGCAGACCUUGCGAAUGUAACUUGUGCCUAAUGUUGGCAGCAAUUCUACGGGUCUGAACGUCUUAAGACUGAUUAGACAUUAAGCCUAGGAGCGCUGGAAUAGAGCUUGGAGAGGAUCCAAUAAAAACUAGAAGGUAUGACUGCAGGAAAGUUAAUGGGAGGAUGUAGGAUACUAUGGUAGAAAGACCUAAGAUUUGACAGUAGACAAACUUUUCCAUAGUUUGGCUGUGAUGUGUAGGUAUUUACCAUUUAUACCUAAGUGGUUUGGGGUUUUUUGUUGUUUGUUGUUGGUUUUGUUUUGAGACAGGGCCUCUAUGUACCCCUUACUGGCCUGAAACUUGCUCUGCAGAUUAGGCUGGCCUGGGACCCACAGAGCUCUGCCUGCCUUUGUCUCCUUAGUGCUGGGUUUAAAGCUGUGAGCCAGCACUCUGAGCUGAGCAUAAAUUCUUCUUCUUCUUCUUUUUUUUUUUUCCGGAGCUGAGGACCGAACCCAGGGCCUUGCACUUGCUAGGCAAGCGCUCUACCACUGAGCUAAAUCCCCAACCUGAGCAUAAAUUCUUAAAGUGCUUGGAGCAACACCUAGACUAACACAUAUUUCAUCACUUACUAUUUUCUUUUUAACCCAUGUGUGGAAACAUGGACUACUGAUGACUGCAGGUAAAACACAACUUUGGGGUACAGCUGGUGGCUGGCAUUAAAAACAUACUUAUGAAUAACCUGCUUGAAGGGAAUGUUGAAUCGAAAUAUUGAACUCUUGACUAAUGGAAUAAUCGAUUGUCUGAAUUGAAACACGGUCCAGUAAAUGGCAGGAUCUCUAACUGGAUUUGAGCAUGGGGCUACUUGUUCUGUUGCAAGCACAGGAAAGGGAUUAUCUCUGUGUGCUCUGUUAUCUCACUGCCUCGUGAAGAGGCUAGAAUUGACACAGCUGUUACUAGAAGUUCUUACCACACCCCUGUAAAACAAAUGUUCAUGCUCUUAACUGAGUGCAGGUAUGAGUCUGUAUUCCUUGUUCCUUCUAGGCCACUAACUGGCCAUUCGUUGCAUGCAAGUUACUCAGUCCCUACUGGUUAAUAUCUGCAUUGCAAGCCUAUUUUAAAAGUUUGUUUGCUCCCCUAAUUCACAGCUUCAGCACUUCAGCUCUAAGAGAGAAAAGGUCCUCUUAGAGAUGUUCAAUAGAAGCAAAGCUUGAGAUAUCAGUAAAGAGGAUGAGAAGAAUUGAAGACAGAUCCGUUUCAGGCCAUCCAGUUAGACACAGUUCUUCCUCUGUUGCUGGGGAAACUGAGGUGGAGCCGGCAGGGACAGGAGCCCAGCCCUCUGAGUCGAUUCCAACAAGCUGCUGGGUUUGGGCAAACCAUGUUUUUCUGUACUGCUCGGCAGUCCUCCGAGGGCUCCUAAAGGUCCUGCCAUUUCACUCUCUGACUCAAACAUUGCUUCUAGGAAGUGCAGUUCUUUUAAAAACGUAGUCGCAUUUUUUAGAAAAGUGAUGGAUCUCAUGGGUUUUGCUGCAGUGGCAUCUAAAUUAAUCACAUUCCUGCUACCUGCGCCUGUGCUUUUCGCUCAUGCGAGCGUUUAAAGGGCCCGCUGCCAGUUUGCCUCCUACAAAAAGCGUUCCUGUUUACGCUUUUCAUCUGCUUUUAUAGGCUGUUGGUGAUGCCUUUAUAGACUUUCCAGUAAGCAGCCAGAGAAACGCAGGGAACUAUUUCCCUAAGGAUGGAAAAUUCACCUGACUGAGGCAGAAGAUUAAUUAACUUGCCGUACUACUGCUUGCUCCAAGCAAGAAGAAAAAAUAAAAGAAAAAACAAAUAAGCAAUAAAUAUGUCCCUGGCUUCCUGCGUGUAGGGGGAAAAUGCCUUUCCAAAUCUGACAGUCUGGCUCUUUAGCCCCGAGGCAAAAGGUCUGAUUAUGACUGUUGUCUCAACAUUAGCAUUAUAACCGCAACAUUAAGUACCAGAAAUUGAUCUAGCUACAGUACUUAACAUGAUGACCUUAGGAGUUUGUUGAUUUCAUGUUUCUAAAGGAUGCAAGAUAUUAUAUUAAGCAUGCUUUAAUUUCUUGUCUUUCAUUUCUUCACCAUCUCCUGCAUUCAGCAACAAUAGCCACCCAACCCUGAGACUGGUUAUUAAUAGCAGAAAGGACAUGGCGACAAGAACCAUGUUCCUACCAAACGCUGCCUGGGCUACAGUGUAUGCUUCCACUUUCUCUAUUCAUUGGUUAGGACCCACUUGGAGAAUUUUGCAGAUCUGACACUUUCAUUAGUCUCUCUCAGCUCUAGUUUUCAAGCUCAGCUCUACUUUGCAUAACAAAUUAAAAUUCACUUUCCAUACUAAA
Non-coding RNA from Rattus norvegicus (Norway rat), 5406 nucleotides. The record is from RefSeq and is a predicted model, not a curated record. Lineage: Eukaryota; Metazoa; Chordata; Mammalia; Rodentia; Muridae.